RNAcentral lists this ribosomal RNA (508 nucleotides) under uncultured bacterium. RNAcentral's name for it is "partial 16S ribosomal RNA". It matches the Rfam family "Bacterial small subunit ribosomal RNA", at positions 28 to 507 of the family's 1533-position model. The record is from RNAcentral.
GACGAACGCUGGCGGCGUGCCUAAUACAUGCAAGUCGAACGCUUCUUUCCUCCCGAGUGCUUGCACUCAAUUGGAAAGAGGAGUGGCGGACGGGUGAGUAACACGUGGGUAACCUACCCAUCAGAGGGGGAUAACACUUGGAAACAGGUGCUAAUACCGCAUAACAGUUUAUGCCGCAUGGCAUAAGAGUGAAAGGCGCUUUCGGGUGUCGCUGAUGGAUGGGCCCGCGGUGCAUUAGCUAGUUGGUGAGGUAACGGCUCACCAAGGCCACGAUGCAUAGCCGACCUGAGAGGGUGAUCGGCCACACUGGGACUGAGACACGGCCCAGACUCCUACGGGAGGCAGCAGUAGGGAAUCUUCGGCAAUGGACGAAAGUCUGACCGAGCAACGCCGCGUGAGUGAAGAAGGUUUUCGGAUCGUAAAACUCUGUUGUUAGAGAAGAACAAGGACGUUAGUAACUGAACGUCCCCUGACGGUAUCUAACCAGAAAGCCACGGCUAACUACGUG